This 427-nucleotide ribosomal RNA is filed under the name uncultured bacterium. Its description in RNAcentral is "bacterial SSU rRNA". It matches the Rfam family "Bacterial small subunit ribosomal RNA", at positions 355 to 774 of the family's 1533-position model. The record is from RNAcentral.
UGGGGAAUUUUGGACAAUGGGCGCAAGCCUGAUCCAGCCAUGCCGCGUGCAGGAUGAAGGCCCUCGGGUUGUAAACUGCUUUUGUACGGAACGAAAAGCCUCUUUCUAAUAAAGAGGGGUGAUGACGGUACCGUAAGAAUAAGCACCGGCUAACUACGUGCCAGCAGCCGCGGUAAUACGUAGGGUGCGAGCGUUAAUCGGAGUUACUGGGCGUAAAGCGUGCGCAGGCGGUCUUGCAAGACAGUGGUGAAAUCCCCGGGCUCAACCUGGGAGCUGCCAUUGUGACUGCAAGGCUGGAGUACGGCAGAGGGGGAUGGAAUUCCGCGUGUCGCAGUUAAAUGCUUAGAUAUGCGGAGUAACACCGAUGGCGAAGGCAGUCCCCUGGGCCUGUACUGACGCUCAUGCACGAAAGCGUGGGGAGCAAACA